Molecule: ribosomal RNA, 740 nt
Filed under: uncultured bacterium
Lineage: Bacteria
Description: bacterial SSU rRNA
Rfam family: Bacterial small subunit ribosomal RNA
Source: RNAcentral
CAGUCGAACGGAGUUAUCAUUUCAGAAGCAAUUAGCUUGCUGAGAGUGGAAGAGAGGAUAACUUAGUGGCGGACGGGUGAGUAACGCGUGGGGAACCUGCCCUGCACCGGGGGAUAACACUUGGAAACAGGUGCUAAUACCGCAUAAGCGCACGAGGCCGCAUGGCCAGGUGUGAAAAACUAAGGUGGUGCAGGAUGGACCCGCGUCUGAUUAGCUUGUUGGUAGGGUAACGGCCUACCAAGGCGACGAUCAGUAGCCGGCCUGAGAGGGUGAACGGCCACAUUGGGACUGAGACACGGCCCAAACUCCUACGGGAGGCAGCAGUGGGGAAUAUUGGACAAUGGGGGAAACCCUGAUCCAGCGACGCCGCGUGAGUGAAGAAGUAUUUCGGUAUGUAAAGCUCUAUCAGCAGGGAAGAAAAUGACGGUACCUGACUAAGAAGCCCCGGCUAACUACGUGCCAGCAGCCGCGGUAAUACGUAGGGGGCAAGCGUUAUCCGGAUUUACUGGGUGUAAAGGGAGCGUAGACGGCAUAGCAAGUCUGAUGUGAAAGAUCGGGGCUCAACCCCGGGCCUGCAUUGGAAACUGUCAAGCUAGAGUGUCGGAGGGGUAAGCGGAAUUCCUGGUGUAGCGGUGAAAUGCGCAGAUAUCAGGAGGAACACCGGUGGCGAAGGCGGCUUACUGGACGGCAACUGACGUUGAGGCUCGAAAGCGUGGGGAGCAAACAGGAUUAGAUACCCU